GUCGUAACAAGGUUUCCGUAGGUGAACCUGCGGAAGGAUCAUUAUUGAAUAAACCUGAUGGGUUGUUGCUGGCUCUCUUGGGAGCAUGUGCACACCUUGUCAUCUUUAUAUUUCCACCUGUGCACCUUUUGUAGACCUCCCCAGGUCUAUGUUGCUUCAUUUACCCCCAAUGUAUGUUAAUAGAAUGUUGUGUCUAUAAAAUCUAUACAACUUUCAGCAACGGAUCUCUUGGCUCUCGCAUCGAUGAAGAACGCAGCGAAAUGCGAUAAGUAAUGUGAAUUGCAGAAUUCAGUGAAUCAUCGAAUCUUUGAACGCACCUUGCGCUCCUUGGUAUUCCGAGGAGCAUGCCUGUUUGAGUGUCAUUAAUAUAUAUCAACCCACUCUUGUUGAGUGGUUUGGAUGUGGAGGGUUUUGCUGGCUGCUUAAAAGGUGCCAGCUCCUCUGAAAUGCAUUAGUGGAACAACCUGUCCAUUCAUUGGUGUGAUAACUAUCUACGCUGUUGAAUGUGAGGCAGUUCAGCUAUCUAACAGUCCUUGGACAAACUUAUCAUUUAAUGUGACCUCAAAUCAGG
This 571-nucleotide ribosomal RNA is filed under the name Cortinarius armillatus var. miniatus. RNAcentral's name for it is "eukaryotic LSU rRNA". The stretch from base 209 to 362 matches the Rfam family "5.8S ribosomal RNA". Lineage: Eukaryota; Fungi; Basidiomycota; Agaricomycetes; Agaricales; Cortinariaceae. The record is from RNAcentral.